This is a non-coding RNA of Fukomys damarensis (Damara mole-rat), 72 nucleotides long. NCBI's taxonomy places the organism in Eukaryota, Metazoa, Chordata, Mammalia, Rodentia, Bathyergidae. The record is from Rfam.
GGGGAUUUAGCUCAGUGGCACUGCGCCUGCCUUGCAAGUACAAGGUCCUGAGUUCAAUCCCCAGUACCCCCA